RNAcentral lists this ribosomal RNA (253 nucleotides) under uncultured bacterium. RNAcentral describes it as "partial 16S ribosomal RNA". It matches the Rfam family "Bacterial small subunit ribosomal RNA", at positions 524 to 776 of the family's 1533-position model. The record is from RNAcentral.
UACAGAGGUCUCAAGCGUUGUUCGGAUUCAUUGGGCGUAAAGGGUGUGUAGGUGGCGCGCUAAGUCGGGUGUGAAAUUUCGGAGCUUAACUCCGAAACUGCAUUCGAUACUGGCGUGCUUGAGGACUGGAGAGGAGACUGGAAUUUACGGUGUAGCAGUGAAAUGCGUAGAUAUCGUAAGGAAGACCAGUGGCGAAGGCGGGUCUCUGGACAGUUACUGACACUGAGGCACGAAGGCCAGGGGAGCAAACGGG